RNAcentral lists this ribosomal RNA (466 nucleotides) under uncultured bacterium. RNAcentral describes it as "partial 16S ribosomal RNA". It matches the Rfam family "Bacterial small subunit ribosomal RNA", at positions 29 to 507 of the family's 1533-position model. The record is from RNAcentral.
ACGAACGCUGGCGGCGUGCUUAACACAUGCAAGUCGAACGGAAAGGCCUCAGCUUGCUGGGGUACUCGAGUGGCGAACGGGUGAGUAACACGUGGGUGAUCUGCCUUGCACUCUGGGAUAAGCUUGGGAAACUGGGUCUAAUACCGGAUAUGAACUGCCUUUAGUGUGGUGGUUGAAAAGUUUUUUCGGUGCAAGAUGAGCUCGCGGCCUAUCAGCUUGUUGGUGGGGUAAUGGCCUACCAAGGCGUCGACGGGUAGCCGGCCUGAGAGGGUGUACGGCCACAUUGGGACUGAGAUACGGCCCAGACUCCUACGGGAGGCAGCAGUGGGGAAUAUUGCACAAUGGGCGGAAGCCUGAUGCAGCGACGCCGCGUGGGGGAUGACGGCCUUCGGGUUGUAAACUCCUUUCGACAGGGACGAAGCUUUUUGUGACGGUACCUGUAGAAGAAGCACCGGCUAACUACGUG